Molecule: ribosomal RNA, 980 nt
Filed under: Lactobacillus amylovorus
Lineage: Bacteria; Bacillati; Bacillota; Bacilli; Lactobacillales; Lactobacillaceae
Description: bacterial SSU rRNA
Rfam family: Bacterial small subunit ribosomal RNA
Source: RNAcentral
ACAUGCAAGUCGAGCGAGCGGAACCAACAGAUUUACUUCGGUAAUGACGUUGGGAAAGCGAGCGGCGGAUGGGUGAGUAACACGUGGGGAACCUGCCCCUAAGUCUGGGAUACCAUUUGGAAACAGGUGCUAAUACCGGAUAAUAAAGCAGAUCGCAUGAUCAGCUUUUGAAAGGCGGCGUAAGCUGUCGCUAAGGGAUGGCCCCGCGGUGCAUUAGCUAGUUGGUAAGGUAACGGCUUACCAAGGCGACGAUGCAUAGCCGAGUUGAGAGACUGAUCGGCCACAUUGGGACUGAGACACGGCCCAAACUCCUACGGGAGGCAGCAGUAGGGAAUCUUCCACAAUGGACGCAAGUCUGAUGGAGCAACGCCGCGUGAGUGAAGAAGGUUUUCGGAUCGUAAAGCUCUGUUGUUGGUGAAGAAGGAUAGAGGUAGUAACUGGCCUUUAUUUGACGGUAAUCAACCAGAAAGUCACGGCUAACUACGUGCCAGCAGCCGCGGUAAUACGUAGGUGGCAAGCGUUGUCCGGAUUUAUUGGGCGUAAAGCGAGCGCAGGCGGAAAAAUAAGUCUAAUGUGAAAGCCCUCGGCUUAACCGAGGAACUGCAUCGGAAACUGUUUUUCUUGAGUGCAGAAGAGGAGAGUGGAACUCCAUGUGUAGCGGUGGAAUGCGUAGAUAUAUGGAAGAACACCAGUGGCGAAGGCGGCUCUCUGGUCUGCAACUGACGCUGAGGCUCGAAAGCAUGGGUAGCGAACAGGAUUAGAUACCCUGGUAGUCCAUGCCGUAAACGAUGAGUGCUAAGUGUUGGGAGGUUUCCGCCUCUCAGUGCUGCAGCUAACGCAUUAAGCACUCCGCCUGGGGAGUACGACCGCAAGGUUGAAACUCAAAGGAAUUGACGGGGGCCCGCACAAGCGGUGGAGCAUGUGGUUUAAUUCGAAGCAACGCGAAGAACCUUACCAGGUCUUGACAUCUAGUGCAAUCU